RNAcentral lists this small nuclear RNA (160 nucleotides) under Triticum aestivum (bread wheat). RNAcentral's name for it is "U1 spliceosomal RNA". It matches the Rfam family "U1 spliceosomal RNA". From Rfam's summary of the family: U1 is a small nuclear RNA (snRNA) component of the spliceosome (involved in pre-mRNA splicing). Its 5' end forms complementary base pairs with the 5' splice junction, thus defining the 5' donor site of an intron. Lineage: Eukaryota; Viridiplantae; Streptophyta; Magnoliopsida; Poales; Poaceae. The record is from Rfam by way of RNAcentral.
UCACUUACCUGGACGGGGUCGACGGGCGAUCAACAAGGCCCGUGGCCUGGGUCAAUGGCCCACAUUGCACUUGGUGGGUGCGUUGGCCCAUCAUCUCCCCAAGUGGGAGAAUGAACGUCAUAAUUUGUGAUAAAGGGGGUACGCGUUCGCGCGGCCCCUG